AUGCAAGUCGAGCGGUAGCACAGAGAGCUUGCUCUCGGGUGACGAGCGGCGGACGGGUGAGUAAUGUCUGGGAAACUGCCUGAUGGAGGGGGAUAACUACUGGAAACGGUAGCUAAUACCGCAUAACGUCGCAAGACCAAAGUGGGGGACCUUCGGGCCUCAUGCCAUCAGAUGUGCCCAGAUGGGAUUAGCUAGUAGGUGGGGUAACGGCUCACCUAGGCGACGAUCCCUAGCUGGUCUGAGAGGAUGACCAGCCACACUGGAACUGAGACACGGUCCAGACUCCUACGGGAGGCAGCAGUGGGGAAUAUUGCACAAUGGGCGCAAGCCUGAUGCAGCCAUGCCGCGUGUGUGAAGAAGGCCUUCGGGUUGUAAAGCACUUUCAGCGGGGAGGAAGGCGAUAAGGUUAAUAACCUUGUCGAUUGACGUUACCCGCAGAAGAAGCACCGGCUAACUCCGUGCCAGCAGCCGCGGUAAUACGGAGGGUGCAAGCGUUAAUCGGAAUUACUGGGCGUAAAGCGCACGCAGGCGGUCUGUCAAGUCGGAUGUGAAAUCCCCGGGCUCAACCUGGGAACUGCAUUCGAAACUGGCAGGCUAGAGUCUUGUAGAGGGGGGUAGAAUUCCAGGUGUAGCGGUGAAAUGCGUAGAGAUCUGGAGGAAUACCGGUGGCGAAGGCGGCCCCCUGGACAAAGACUGACGCUCAGGUGCGAAAGCGUGGGGAGCAAACAGGAUUAGAUACCCUGGUAGUCCACGCCGUAAACGAUGUCGAUUUGGAGGUUGUGCCCUUGAGGCGUGGCUUCCGGAGCUAACGCGUUAAAUCGACCGCCUGGGGAGUACGGCCGCAAGGUUAAAACUCAAAUGAAUUGACGGGGGCCCGCACAAGCGGUGGAGCAUGUGGUUUAAUUCGAUGCAACGCGAAGAACCUUACCUGGUCUUGACAUCCACAGAACUUAGCAGAGAUGCUUUGGUGCCUUCGGGAACUGUGAGACAGGUGCUGCAUGGCUGUCGUCAGCUCGUGUUGUGAAAUGUUGGGUUAAGUCCCGCAACGAGCGCAACCCUUAUCCUUUGUUGCCAGCGGUCCGGCCGGGAAC
Molecule: ribosomal RNA, 1091 nt
Filed under: Klebsiella sp.
Lineage: Bacteria; Pseudomonadati; Pseudomonadota; Gammaproteobacteria; Enterobacterales; Enterobacteriaceae
Description: bacterial SSU rRNA
Rfam family: Bacterial small subunit ribosomal RNA
Source: RNAcentral